CAACUCUCAACAACGGAUAUCUUGGCUCCCGCAACGAUGAAGAACGCAGCGAAAUGCGAUACUUAAUGUGAAUUGCAGAAUUCCGUGAAUCAUCGAGUCUUUGAACGCAUAUUGCGCCCGAGGCUUCGGUCAAGGGCAUGUCUGCCUCAGCGUCGGUUGA
Molecule: ribosomal RNA, 160 nt
Filed under: Chloroidium saccharophilum
Lineage: Eukaryota; Viridiplantae; Chlorophyta; Trebouxiophyceae; Watanabeales; Watanabeaceae
Source: RNAcentral